Molecule: ribosomal RNA, 406 nt
Filed under: uncultured bacterium
Lineage: Bacteria
Description: partial 16S ribosomal RNA
Rfam family: Bacterial small subunit ribosomal RNA
Source: RNAcentral
AUUGAACGCUGGCGGCAGGCCUAACACAUGCAAGUCGAACGAGUGGCGGACGGGUGAGUUAUGUCUGGGACACUGCCCGAUGGAGGGGGGCAACUACUGGAAACGGUCGCUAAUACCGCAUACCAUCGGAUGUGCCCAGAUGGGAUUAGCGAGUAGGUGGGGUAACGGCUCACCUAGGCGACGAUCCCUAGCUGGUCUGAGAGGAUGACCAGCCACACUGGAACUGAGACACGGUCCAGACUCCUACGGGAGGCAGCAGUGGGGAAUAUUGCACAAUGGGCGCAAGCCGGAUGCAGCCAUGCCGCGUGUAUGAAGAAGGCCUUCGGGUUGUAAAGUACUUUCAGCGGGGAGGCGUUACUCGCAGAAGAAGCACCGGCUAACUCCGUGCCAGCAGCCGCGGUAAUUC